Molecule: ribosomal RNA, 254 nt
Filed under: uncultured bacterium
Lineage: Bacteria
Description: partial 16S ribosomal RNA
Rfam family: Bacterial small subunit ribosomal RNA
Source: RNAcentral
UACGUAGGGCGCAAGCGUUGUCCGGAAUUAUUGGGCGUAAAGAGCUCGUAGGCGGUCUGUCACGUCUGCCGUGAAAACCCGAGGCUUAACCUCGUGGCUUGCGGUGGAUACGGGCAGACUAGAGGUAGGUAGGGGAGAACGGAAUUCCCGGUGUAGCGGUGAAAUGCGCAGAUAUCGGGAGGAACACCGGUGGCGAAGGCGGUUCUCCGGGCCUUACCUGACGCUGAGGAGCGAAAGCAUGGGGAGCGAACAGG